RNAcentral lists this ribosomal RNA (497 nucleotides) under uncultured bacterium. RNAcentral's name for it is "partial 16S ribosomal RNA". It matches the Rfam family "Bacterial small subunit ribosomal RNA", at positions 28 to 507 of the family's 1533-position model. The record is from RNAcentral.
GAUGAACGCUGGCGGCGUGCCUAAUACAUGCAAGUCGAGCGAACAGACGAGGAGCUUGCUCCUCUGACGUUAGCGGCGGACGGGUGAGUGACACGUGGAUAACCUACCUAUAAGACUGGGAUAACUUCGGGAAACCGGAGCUAAUACCGGAUAAUAUAUUGAACCGCAUGGUUCAAUAGUGAAAGACGGUUUUGCUGUCACUUAUAGAUGGAUCCGCGCCGCAUUAGCUAGUUGGUAAGGUAACGGCUUACCAAGGCAACGAUGCGUAGCCGACCUGAGAGGGUGAUCGGCCACACUGGAACUGAGACACGGUCCAGACUCCUACGGGGGGCAGCAGUAGGGAAUCUUCCGCAAUGGGCGAAAGCUUGACGGAGCAACGCCGCGUGAGUGAUGAAGGUCUUCGGAUCGUAAAACUCUGUUAUUAGGGAAGAACAAAUGUGUAAGUAACUAUGCACGUCUUGACGGUACCUAAUCAGAAAGCCACGGCUAACUACGUG